CCAUUGGAUUCCUUGAAGAGAGGCUUCGGAACAGCAGAGAGAGGCUGAGAUCGCAGAGCAGCUCACGCAGCCGAGACCGCCACAAAGCAGUGAAGAAGGCGCCUGUAGGACACGCAUACCAGAAAGAGCCAUACAGUUUAAAGAAUGGCUGAGACACGUGACAUGACAGUUCGCAGCCCCUCAGCAAGGUGGAGCUAUACGUGCUGGAUACAGCAGUGUACAGGUCCAAGAUGAUCAGGGGAAACAAGUGGGACAUCCAGGAGACCUGCCAAGAGUUUCUGUAUCUACUCACUCCAGGCAUGGUAAAUUAGGAAGGACUAUAUGUUGAGGAUUCAUUGUUAAUAACAAUCUUUUAUCUGCAUGUUAGCUGCCACAUUUAAUUUGUUUUAGGUUGCACAAGACUUUGAAGUCUUACAUGGAGAGACUGCAUCAGAACUCUUCGAAACCUGGCUGCCGUUUUAUGCCAAAAAGAUUCUGUCCCUGGCGACACGGGAAGGGAAUAGUGUUGUUUUUGGCGACCUGUUUUAAUUUUAGUUUUAGUCUAGUCUUUGUGUAAAACUGUCAUUUUAGGUUUUAUUAGUUUUAGUCACGUUUGUAAUCUUUUUAGACUAGUCAAGUUUCAGUCGACUAAAAGUCUGAGCAUUUUAGUCAGAAUUAUCCAUGACUAUUUUU
This is a long non-coding RNA of Acanthopagrus latus (yellowfin seabream), 672 nucleotides long. RefSeq lists it as uncharacterized. The record is from RefSeq and is a predicted model, not a curated record. The transcript has 3 exons. Lineage: Eukaryota; Metazoa; Chordata; Actinopteri; Spariformes; Sparidae.